Chaetura pelagica (chimney swift) is the source of this 109-nucleotide non-coding RNA. The record is from Rfam. Lineage: Eukaryota; Metazoa; Chordata; Aves; Apodiformes; Apodidae.
GUGGUCUCGCUUUGACAGCACAUAGACUAAAAUUGGAACAAUACACAGAAGAUUUGCAUGGCUGCUGAGCAAGGAUGACGUGCAAAUUCAUUAAGUGAUCCAUAUUUUA